UAUGGCGACCGGCGCACGGGUGAGUAACACGUAUCCAACCUGCCGAUGACUCGGGGAUAGCCUUUCGAAAGAAAGAUUAAUACCCGAUGGCAUAGUUCUUCCGCAUGGUAGAACUAUUAAAGAAUUUCGGUCAUCGAUGGGGAUGCGUUCCAUUAGCUUGUUGGCGGGGUAACGGCCCACCAAGGCAUCGAUGGAUAGGGGUUCUGAGAGGAAGGUCCCCCACAUUGGAACUGAGACACGGUCCAAACUCCUACGGGAGGCAGCAG
RNAcentral lists this ribosomal RNA (266 nucleotides) under uncultured bacterium. RNAcentral's name for it is "partial 16S ribosomal RNA". It matches the Rfam family "Bacterial small subunit ribosomal RNA", at positions 87 to 354 of the family's 1533-position model. The record is from RNAcentral.